AAGACCCAACUAUCACUCUGCUUAAGAAGACCCAACUAUCACUCUGCUUAAGAAGACCCAGCUAUCACUCUGCUUAAGAAGACCCAGCUAUCACUCUGCUUAAGAAGACCCAGCUAUCACUAUGCUUAAGAAACAGCUAGCUUGUUAUUGUUGCUGCUGUUAAACCAUUAUUUAUCCAGGCUAGUUUCAUUGAGAUAAAAUGCAUUUUAAAGUGAGUCCUAAUCCAAGACAACAACCGGGCAUGCAGUAAUUGCAAUACUGUAUCACAAUACUUACUGAAAUAUGUCCUCGUAAUUAAGUAAGUUUUAUCUGAACCUUCCCUCAGUGGUGGGAUUUUCAAUGAUUUGUUUGUUCUUUCCCCAGGUCCCCACAGUAGUGAAGGCUCUCCACAAGCAGCUGAAAGAGAAGAGCAUGAAGUCUAGACAGGGCUGUUUGUCUGCUGACAGAGCUGGCCAACGUACUGCCAGGAGCCCUGGGGGAACACAUACCAGCUCUCACAUCAGGUUGACAGCGGUGAAGAACAUGACUCUCAUCUCCGCAUUGCCCCUUAGGAUUGACCUCUGACCUUUACUCACAGAGGGCAUCCCCAUCCUGGGCUCCUUCCCCGGGAAGAACCAGCGCGCCCUCAAGCUGAGCAUGCCGACCGGUCUCAACAUGAUCGUGGCGAACAACAGCUACAGCCUGAAGCCACCCAUGAUCGAUGCCGUGCUCAAAAAGCUACCUGCUUUGAUUGAGAGCAAUAUGCACAUAUCCCAGGUGGCAGUUAAACUCCUCACCUGUAUGGCUAAGGUGUGCCCCUCCUCCCUGUCCAAGAUCGGGAACACUGUCCUACCUGGGGUGUUGCAUCUGUUUCAUUCCCCAGUCGCUCCAAUGAGGGUCUCUCUCCGCCAUUCUAGAGUUCUUCCAAGUGCUGGUGGUCACCAAGGCUGUGAACAACGGCCUGAAAGCUCUCACAGGCCCCUUUCACAGAUUGGGGAAUGCGACAGACCCUACAGACCCAUGGACUUUUCCUGGUUAAAUAAAAAGACAGUCCUACUACUCUGUGACCAGGUAGUUGUAGUUUUGGAUAGAUGCCUUUACAUGGCUGUCAUAGGCCACACUCACUCCCUCAGAAAUUAUUCCUAUUCUGCCUUGAAAGUUGAUAGUUGGAAACAUGUGAUAUUAAAAGGACUUUGAAAAAUAUAUUUAGUGCCACUAGUUACCUUGAAAUCAUCGUCGAGUUGAAAACGUGCCUUCUUGACAUACUUGUUAAAAAUGACUUUUCAAAGCCGGUGAUAUUCAGCGCCAUUUUGUAGAGCUGUGAUGUUGAUACAGUAUUCCCAACGAAUACAUUGCAAAUAAACAAAUGUUUAGUUAAAUUUG
Salvelinus fontinalis (brook trout) is the source of this 1362-nucleotide long non-coding RNA. RefSeq lists it as uncharacterized. NCBI's taxonomy places the organism in Eukaryota, Metazoa, Chordata, Actinopteri, Salmoniformes, Salmonidae. The record is from RefSeq and is a predicted model, not a curated record. The transcript has 2 exons.